AUACUUACCUGGACGGGGUCUAUGGAUGAUCAAGGAGGUCUAUGGCCUAGGGAAGUGACUUUCAUUGCACAUAGAAAGGGUGUUUCUCUAAAGUCUGUCCAAGUGACAGAGCUUACGUCAUAAUUUGUUGCAGUGGGACCUGCGUUCGCGCGGUCCCUU
RNAcentral lists this small nuclear RNA (159 nucleotides) under Phaseolus vulgaris (common bean). RNAcentral describes it as "U1 spliceosomal RNA". It matches the Rfam family "U1 spliceosomal RNA". Rfam says of the family: U1 is a small nuclear RNA (snRNA) component of the spliceosome (involved in pre-mRNA splicing). Its 5' end forms complementary base pairs with the 5' splice junction, thus defining the 5' donor site of an intron. There are significant differences in sequence and secondary structure between metazoan and yeast U1 snRNAs, the latter being much longer (568 nucleotides as compared to 164 nucleotides in human). The record is from Rfam by way of RNAcentral. Lineage: Eukaryota; Viridiplantae; Streptophyta; Magnoliopsida; Fabales; Fabaceae.